This is a long non-coding RNA of Neltuma alba, 528 nucleotides long. RefSeq lists it as uncharacterized. The transcript has 3 exons. Lineage: Eukaryota; Viridiplantae; Streptophyta; Magnoliopsida; Fabales; Fabaceae. The record is from RefSeq and is a predicted model, not a curated record.
GACCUUACAGAUCAAGAUGGUCUUCGUUUCAACAUAAGUGCAACAUCAGAAUCUGAUGCUCCUCCAAUCCUUAAUGCCCUCGAAACUUAUAAAUUGAUAUCACCACUUACAUCUCCAACUUACGGAACAGAUGGUAUUAUAAUUUCUCAACCAACUAUUUUCCAUUGUUGUUUCAUGAUCUGGGAGUCUGUUGGCUUUGACUUCUGAUACCCUGUUUAUUAUUGGUAACAAUAUAGCGGAUGCCAUUCGGGACAUAAAAGAGACCUACGAAAUCUACAAAGUAGAGUGGCAAGGUGACCCAGGUGUUCCGAAGGAAUUUGUAUGGCAGGGACUAAGUUGCAGAUAUGACAUCAAUAAUAACUCUAACCCCAGGAUUUUCUCACUAAACUUGAGCACCCGCAACUUAAGAGGACAAAUAGCUGCUUCAUUUUCACAACUUACGGAGUUGGAAUCCUUGGAUUUAUCAAGAAAUGGCCUGUCAGGACCGAUACCGGAAUUUCUUGCUAAAUUGCCAAAGUUGAGAACCCU